CGUAGGUGGCAAGCGUUGUCCGGAAUUAUUGGGCGUAAAGCGCGCGCAGGCGGCCUUUAAGUCUGAUGUGAAAUCUUGCGGCUCAACCGCAAGCGGCCAUUGGAAACUGGGAGGCUUGAGUACAGAAGAGGAGAGUGGAAUUCCACGUGUAGCGGUGAAAUGCGUAGAUAUGUGGAGGAACACCAGUGGCGAAGGCGACUCUCUGGUCUGUAACUGACGCUGAGGCGCGAAAGCGUGGGAGCAAACAGGAUU
Molecule: ribosomal RNA, 252 nt
Filed under: uncultured bacterium
Lineage: Bacteria
Description: partial 16S ribosomal RNA
Rfam family: Bacterial small subunit ribosomal RNA
Source: RNAcentral